RNAcentral lists this long non-coding RNA (1124 nucleotides) under Equus asinus (donkey). Its description in RNAcentral is "lncRNA (ENSEASG00005028887.1)". Lineage: Eukaryota; Metazoa; Chordata; Mammalia; Perissodactyla; Equidae. The record is from RNAcentral.
GUCUGGCCCAACGCUCUUCACCAGCAUGUCAUGCUGCUCGUGGAGGAUCUUGAGAGAAGAGUUUAGGACCAUCUGAUAACAGAUGAAGAACCGAAAGCAAACAGACAAUUUGUCAUCCACCCACGGACAAGAGUUCAUGCGGGGAGCUGAGGGCCUCAGCACUGUAAGCCAAGGGAACCUGGAGGAGUCUCGCCCACCUGUGCGUUGGGUGAUAGACACGCAGACAGACCUCAGUCCUGGCUGUGGAUCCAGCAGUGGGCCAUGAACUGACUCCAGGUCCUCUCCGCUGUGGUCUGGGAGCCCCUGGAGAAUACUGACUUAAAUAAUCACCCACAGAUGAGACAGCCUUUGUGGAAGUCCAGGAUUCCAACAAAGAAAGUUCUAGCACAACGUUGGAGCAAAAAAAUAUGAGUUUGGACACAUUGCAAAGGGCAAGAGGAACAGUUUGACUUUGUCCACAUCACCUCUCCCCUAAGGUGGCACAGCUCCAUGCCAAGACUGUCUCGGCCUGUGAUUUCUCCUGUGGGGAGUUGAUGGAGGAUGCUGAGGCCUGAGGCCACGCUCCUCCAGCUUUUCAAGUCUCGGUGAUUUUGGAAACAGCUGCAGGGACUUCACCCCCUGCCAAGCUUUGGACAGCAGUGGCCCCUUCAGAUCAGUGGAAGGCCGUCCUCCUUUUCCUUCCUCCCUCGGAGGUUUCCUUUUUGCACCUUGGACUUCUCUUCAUGGAUCAUCUGCCAGAUAGGUGGACCAAGAAUUCUUACUCUUUACAGAUUUUCUUCCCUUAAUGGUCCUGUUCUGUGCUGUCACCCUGGCACUCUUAGCAGCUGGCAGGAAAUGUUUAUAGAGCAAGCUUUUCUUUCUCUUUUUAAUAGCCUUCUAGGCUGCCACCUCCCAAAUAAGAACCUCGUUAACCAGAAGGACUCUAGGCUACUGAUUUAUAUUCCAGUCAUACCAAGAGGAAAAGAAAUGACAAAGGGAAAAAGAAAAUGCCAAAGUAUCCGUGGACUGGUUCCAACACCCUGUCUGAUGACGAGUGUGUAUAUCUAUUUAAGCUCUGGGUGCUAAGGGAUUCCUUCCAGAUUUUAGUAUUUGACCUAUUACCCUUGUGUCACAUGGAUUCUCUG